Molecule: ribosomal RNA, 467 nt
Filed under: uncultured bacterium
Lineage: Bacteria
Description: partial 16S ribosomal RNA
Rfam family: Bacterial small subunit ribosomal RNA
Source: RNAcentral
GACGAACGCUGGCGGCGUGCUUAACACAUGCCAGUCGAACGGAAAGGCCCUGCUUUUGUGGGGUGCUCGAGUGGCGAACGGGUGAGUAACACGUGAGUAACCUGCCCUUGACUUUGGGAUAACUUCAGGAAACUGGGGCUAAUACCGGAUAGGAGCUCCUGCUGCAUGGUGGGGGUUGGAAAGUUUCGGCGGUUGGGGAUGGACUCGCGGCUUAUCAGCUUGUUGGUGGGGUAGUGGCUUACCAAGGCUUUGACGGGUAGCCGGCCUGAGAGGGUGACCGGCAAAAUGGGGUCUGGGAUACGGCCCAGACCCCUCGGGGGGGCAGCAGGGGGGAAAUUGGCAAAAGGGGGGGAAGCCGGAUGCAGCAACCCCGGGGGGGGGAUGACGGCCUUGGGGUUGAAAACCCCUUUCGCCUGGGACGAAGGGUGAGUGGCGGUAAUGGGAAAAGAAGCACCGGCUAACUACGU